AAACUGCGAUAUGUAGUGUGAAUUGCAGAAUUCAGUGAAUCAUCGAGUCUUUGAACGCAAAUGGCGCUUCUGGUCCUGCCAGGAGCACGUCUGUCUGAGAGUUUGCU
This 107-nucleotide ribosomal RNA is filed under the name Halichondria panicea. RNAcentral's name for it is "partial 5.8S ribosomal RNA". It matches the Rfam family "5.8S ribosomal RNA", at positions 50 to 154 of the family's 154-position model. Rfam says of the family: 5.8S ribosomal RNA (5.8S rRNA) is a component of the large subunit of the eukaryotic ribosome. Lineage: Eukaryota; Metazoa; Porifera; Demospongiae; Suberitida; Halichondriidae. The record is from RNAcentral.